This 406-nucleotide ribosomal RNA is filed under the name uncultured bacterium. RNAcentral describes it as "partial 16S ribosomal RNA". It matches the Rfam family "Bacterial small subunit ribosomal RNA", at positions 30 to 526 of the family's 1533-position model. The record is from RNAcentral.
AUUGAACGCUGGCGGCAUGCCUAACACAUGCAAGUCGAGCGAGCGGCGGACGGGUGAGUAAUGUCUGGGAAACUGCCUGAUGGAGGGGGAUAACUACUGGAAACGGUAGCUACUACCGCAUACCAUCAGAUGUGCCCAGAUGGGAUAAGCUGGUAGGUGGGGUAACGGCUCACCUAGGCGACGUUCCCUAGCUGGUCUGAGAGGAUGACCAGCCACACUGGAACUAGGACACGGACAAGACUCCUACGGGAGGCAGCAGUGGGGAACAUUCCACAAUGGGCGAAAUCCUGAUGCAGACAUGCCGCGUGUGUGAAGAAGGCCUUCGGGUUGUAAAGUCCUUUCAGCGGGGAGGCGGUACCCGCAGAAGAAGCAACGGCUAACUCCGUGCCAGCCGCCGCGGUAAUUC